CCUACGGGAGGCAGCAGUGGGGAAUAUUGCACAAUGGGGGAAACCCUGAUGCAGCGACGCCGCGUGAGCGAGGAAGUAUUUCGGUAUGUAAAGCUCUAUCAGCAGGGACGAAAAAAGACGGUACCUGACUAAGAAGCCCCGGCUAACUACGUGCCAGCAGCCGCGGUAAUACGUAGGGGGCAAGCGUUAUCCGGAUUUACUGGGUGUAAAGGGAGCGUAGACGGCAAGGCAAGCCAGAAGUGAAAGGGCAGGGCUCAACCCUGUACAUGCUUUUGGAACUGUGGUGCUAGAGUGCAGGAGAGGUA
RNAcentral lists this ribosomal RNA (305 nucleotides) under uncultured bacterium. RNAcentral's name for it is "bacterial SSU rRNA". It matches the Rfam family "Bacterial small subunit ribosomal RNA", at positions 338 to 659 of the family's 1533-position model. The record is from RNAcentral.